AAUGCCUUUCUUGGCUAAGUGUCCGUGUCCAUCUUUUUUUCCUAGAAUACAAGUGAUCAUCAUCUUUACAUAAGUUGUUGAUUUACAGAUUUAUCUCUCACUAUGUUAUGCUCUAAUUGCUUUGGCUGCAGGAGCUUAUCUGCAUAUCCUCUGGAAUAUUGGAGGUCGGGAAGCAUUGUUUAGCUGCUCUCAACCCCUCCAUAUGAAGAGGGGCUUCAAUUGGUCCAUUGAUUGAAUUGGCUAUUGAAAUUGAUCCAAGAGGACUGUUCCUGCAAACCCUAACAAGAACAAAGUCUUUGAUCAUCGAACCAUUUUCUGGUAAUUGUGGAAAGGGGCUUCAUUUCUUUGACAUUUGAGCUUUUGGGGACCUACAUCGUGCUCUCUCUCUCUCUCACA
Non-coding RNA from Camellia sinensis, 396 nucleotides. Lineage: Eukaryota; Viridiplantae; Streptophyta; Magnoliopsida; Ericales; Theaceae. The record is from RefSeq and is a predicted model, not a curated record.